RNAcentral lists this ribosomal RNA (443 nucleotides) under Mimetidae sp. GH797. RNAcentral's name for it is "partial 16S ribosomal RNA". Lineage: Eukaryota; Metazoa; Arthropoda; Arachnida; Araneae; Mimetidae. The record is from RNAcentral.
UUCUUAAAGCCCUCAUUUUAAGUAGCGCCUGCUCAAUGCAAAUGUAAAUUGCCGCAGAAUUUUUAUACUGUGCUAAGGUAGCAUAAUCAUUAGCCUCUUAAUUAGAGACUAGAAUGAAUGGUAGCCCCCCUAAAUACUUUCUUUCAUUAUUCAUUAAAACUUCAAUUAAAUAUAAAAAUAUAUUUAUAAAUAAAAAAGACGAUAAGACCCUAUCGAACUUUACUAAAGUUUAGCUGGGGAAGCUAAUUAAACAUAAUUUUAAUAAUUAUAUUUACAAAUGAUCCAAUUAUAUUGAUUAAUUGAUCAAGUUACCGUAGGGAUAACAGCAUAAUACUAUUUUAAAGUCUUAUUAAAAAUAGAGUUUAUGACCUCGAUGUUGAAUUAUUUAUCUAUAAGGCGCAAUAGCCUUAAAAGAAAGUCUGUUCGACCUUUAAACUUUUACA